RNAcentral lists this ribosomal RNA (789 nucleotides) under uncultured bacterium. Its description in RNAcentral is "bacterial SSU rRNA". It matches the Rfam family "Bacterial small subunit ribosomal RNA", at positions 671 to 1455 of the family's 1533-position model. The record is from RNAcentral.
UGGUGUAGCGGUGAANUGCGCAGAUAUCAGGAGGAACNCCGAUGGCGAAGGCAGGUUACUGGGCAGUUACUGACGCUGAGGAGCGAAAGCAUGGGAGCGAACAGGAUUAGAUACCCUGGUAGUCCAUGCUGUAAACGGUGGGCGCUAGGUGUGGGCUGUGUGUUUGCAGUCUGUGCCGUAGCUAACGCAUUAAGCGCCCCGCCUGGGGAGUACGGCCGCAAGGCUAAAACUCAAAGGAAUUGACGGGGGCCCGCACAAGCGGCGGAGCAUGUGGAUUAAUUCGAUGCAACGCGAAGAACCUUACCUGGGUUUGACAUGCACCAGAUCGGCGUAGAGAUACGUUUUCCCUUGUGGUUGGUGCACAGGUGGUGCAUGGUUGUCGUCAGCUCGUGUCGUGAGAUGUUGGGUUAAGUCCCGCAACGAGCGCAACCCUUGUCUUAUGUUGCCAGCACAUUUUUGGUGGGGACUCAUGAGAAACUGCCGGGGUCAACUCGGAGGAAGGUGGGGAUGACGUCAAAUCAUCAUGCCCUUUAUACCCAGGGCUUCACACAUGCUACAAUGGUCGGUACAACGGGUUGCGACACUGUGAAGUGAAGCUAAUCUCUCAAAGCCGGCCUCAGUUCGGAUUGGGGUCUGCAACUCGACCCCAUGAAGUCGGAGUCGCUAGUAAUCGCAGAUCAGCAACGCUGCGGUGAAUACGUUCCCGGGCCUUGUACACACCGCCCGUCACGUCAUGAAAGUUGGUAACACCCGAAGCCCAUGGCCUAACCACCACCUGUGGUGGGGGGA